Molecule: ribosomal RNA, 460 nt
Filed under: uncultured bacterium
Lineage: Bacteria
Description: partial 16S ribosomal RNA
Rfam family: Bacterial small subunit ribosomal RNA
Source: RNAcentral
CCUACGGGAGGCAGCAGUGAGGAAUAUUGGUCAAUGGGCGCGAGCCUGAACCAGCCAAGUCGCGUGAGGGAUGACGGUCCUACGGAUUGUAAACCUCUUUUGCCGGGGAGCAAGCGUGCGUUCGUGAACGCGCGUCGAGAGUACCCGGAGAAAAAGCAUCGGCUAACUCCGUGCCAGCAGCCGCGGUAAUACGGAGGAUGCGAGCGUUAUCCGGAUUUAUUGGGUUUAAAGGGUGCGUAGGCGGGAUGCCAAGUCAGCGGUAAAAAUGCGGUGCUCAACGCCGUCGAGCCGUUGAAACUGGUGUUCUUGAGUGGGCGAGAAGUAUGCGGAAUGCGUGGUGUAGCGGUGAAAUGCAUAGAUAUCACGCAGAACUCCGAUUGCGAAGGCAGCAUACCGGCGCCCUACUGACGCUGAGGCACGAAAGCGUGGGUAGCGAACAGGAUUAGAUACCCUGGUAGUC